RNAcentral lists this ribosomal RNA (253 nucleotides) under uncultured bacterium. RNAcentral's name for it is "partial 16S ribosomal RNA". It matches the Rfam family "Bacterial small subunit ribosomal RNA", at positions 524 to 776 of the family's 1533-position model. The record is from RNAcentral.
CACGGGGGGAGCAAGCGUUGUUCGGAUUCAUUGGGCGUAAAGAGCUCGUAGGUGGCUCUGUAAGUCGGAGGUGAAAGACCACGGCUCAACCGUGGAAACGCCUUCGAUACUGUGGAGCUUGAGGCUGGGAGAGGAAAUCGGAAUUCCUGGUGUAGCGGUGAAAUGCGUAGAUAUCAGGAGGAACACCGGUGGCGAAGGCGGAUUUCUGGACCAGUUCUGACACUGAGGAGCGAAAGCCAGGGGAGCAAACAGG